AGAAAGAUUAUCCCAACUCUUAUGAAGUUUGGAUUGUAGGGAGGCAGGUAUGGACUCUUUAAGAAGUUGUUGCAUAGUCUGGGAAAGAAAAUAGCAAUUUGAACAAAUUUGGGUAGUGCAACUCAGGGUGGGCGUAAAAAUUGGCAGAUUGGAGAUAGAUUUUAAAGGUAACAGACAGCACCUGAAUCCACUGAAUAAUGGCAGUGGAAUAAAGAAGGGAAGGAGGGGGUCAAAGAAGACUAGUUGAUUUGGAGCCUAAACAUGACCAAAGAAUGCCCUGAGAUCAGGAAAAAAAAAAAAACAAAAAACUAGAAUUUUGUUUUGGCAGGAGGAACCAGUAAUUUGCCCUAGGCUGUGUUCAGUAUACCACUUAAUUAUCUAAGUGGACAUUUAGAAUUGAUAACUGAGAGGCUGCAUCUCAGGGAACAGGCCUCAUUGAACAUACAGAUGUUAGAGUAUGACACAUGGACUAUCUUUAAUUCUUGGUGCAGGAUGAGUUUGUCUAGAGGGAGAAGAGAGAGAGUAUACUCCCUGGGACUGAGUCCUGAACCUUCCACCACUUAGGGGUCUAAUGAAGGAAGAAGAGAUAACAAAAUGAAAACUGAGAAGAAACUAUGGUAUUUGAUCAAAGCAGCAGCAAAAAAGGAAUAUGAAGUAUUGUGGGAACCCAGGGAGGAAGGUGUUCCAAGUGGAGAGAGAAGGUUCUGUGGGACUUGGCGUCUACUAACAAAAACAGUAGGGAUUGGAGCAAGUCGAAAUGUGGGCACUAAGUGGGGAGUGGAGACCCCACUGUCAUCAGCGCUGUCAAAAAAUCAGCAGUGAAGAGGGAAAUGGAGCAAUGAGUAGAGGAGAUCUAAGGUUUGGGGUGAGCAGGCACUGGGAAGAAAGUGGGUUCAUUUUCCAGAUGAAGAUCUGGUAUCAGAGAAUGUUCACAGACAAUAGGUUGAGUUAGCAGAAGAGAAAAAUCCCUUUGAGAUAAGGAGUACUCCUCUUGCCAUUUGGUACACAGAUCUGAAAGCAUCUCCACUCUGGCCCCCAAUUCCUUUGCAUGUUAGUCAGCUUUGUGUCACUGUGACCAAAAUAAUUAACAAGAACAACUUAGAGGAGAGCAAGUUUGUUUUGGUUUACAGUUUCAGAGGUCUCCUUGCAUAGCCGACAGACUCCAUUGCUAUGGGCCUUAAGUGAGGCAGACAUUAUUGAAGAAGGGCAUUGGGGAGGAAAGCUGCUUUCAGCUCAUGGCAGCCAGAAAGCAGACACAAGAGGGUCAGGGACAGAUAAUUUCCAAGGUCACAACCACAGUGACCUAAUUCCUCCAGCACACCCCACGUUGCCAGUAUUCCCAUUUGAAUUUAUCAAUUGGGUUAAUCCCUCAUGAGGUUACAGCCCUCAUGAUCCAAUCACUGCCUAAAAUCCCCACUUCUGAACCUUGUCGCACUGGGGACCAUGCUUUCAUUACAUGAGAUUUUGGGGGGACAUUCCAGAUCUAGAUCAUAACACUUUGGUUGAGGUGAAGCUUGCAUUUUUCCUGGGGGGGAGAAUGUGAGCAGAUGAAGGGUGUAGUACACAAGCCUAACUUGUGUCAAAAUUGACCUCUGUUGAAUUGGUUUCCCCAGGACUUUAGGCUAUCACUGUUGUCCUGUGUGCAGCCAGCGUCUUCUCACUGGGGUCGCCCCCCUAGCUGCUUCACUGGCCUCUCCCUUAACCUAUCCAUCCAACCAGUCAGCUACUGCCAGGUAACACUUCUAGAACUGAGUUGCUGUCAUAACUUAAACCUUUCACAGGUUCCUCAGCCCUUUGGGGACCUAAACUCCUGGGUACAGUCUUCCUUGGUCCUUCUGUCACCUCCCGCUGCUUCCCUGCCUUUUCCUUGCUUGAGUGCAUCAUACUUCUUCACUCAUCCUUUCUUUGUGCUGUACCGCCUUUUGGAAUGCUGAGCUCUUCUCUGGACACAGUGCCCAGAAGAUUCUUCCCACACCCGGUUCCACUCCUCCAGGCUUGUGGUUGCUUCUCAGCCUUGUUCCUCGGGCUUACACUCUGACAAAGAUAAGACGGGAGUUUAUUUUUACACUUCACUGUGGGUGUUCUUUGAGGAUAGAAACUUGUGGAUAGAAGCUCCCUGAAGGUACUGUUCUUUAAAACAUUAAAUUAACUAGUCCCAGAGAACUUAAAGGGAGAUGUCUUCAAACCUCAGUGAUCCUGUGUUCUUGUUAUAUAGUGAAAAGCCUAUGUAAAAAAGAAAAUGAAGAAUCAAUGACAUUCAAAAGUAUUCCUCUUUGAGUAAAUAUGCCAUUUGUUCUUAUCAGUUUAUCAAAAAUAAAUGGGUUUUUUAGUGAUUUAUAUUUAAAGAGUUAAGGACUCCUCUAGAAAUAUAUUGGAGAAACAUGUAUAAGUUGAAAGUAACCUUAAAAAAAAGUAAAUUAAGAUUAAGUCAUGGCACCUGAAGGUUACAUUUGGAAUAAGAUUUUUCUUCAAUCUGAGUCUGUUGUUCUGCUUUUUGCCUCCUUGGCUCCAAGAGUAAGUAUAGUAAGUAUCAUUUCUAGAUUACUUAAAACACCUGGUAUAAAUUAGAUGCUAUGUAAAUAGUUGUACUGUAUUUUUAGGGAACAAUGACAGGAAGUCUAUCCAUGGUUAAUAAAGACAGUUUUUUUCCAAUUUUUUUUUUUUUUUUUUUAACCUGAGGUUGGUUCAGUCUACAGGUGCAGAAGCCCUGGAUACUGAAGACUAGCUAAUUGCACAGUUUUAUUUUUCUCCCUUAACAGAUCCAGAGAGAGAGGAGCUGGGAUGGGUUCAGUGAUCACAGAUCACAUCCAUUACCAGCUUCCUCCCUUUCUGCUGCUCUGACAUCUUUGGCAUGCUGUUCUUCAAGACCCCCAAGGCCUUAUUCUGGGUAGGAAGGUAGAAAAGGCAUGAGUUAGCUGAGUCCUUUUUAUGUAAAAUCUACUAACUUGGCUCUGGUGUGUUUCUACCAACAUCUUUCCAGAACUGAAAAACAUGGGUACUGUCAGUUACGAGGCAAUCCCAGGAAAUUAGAUUUGGUUGGUUUUUUGCUUUAUUGAGACAUAAUUCAUGUAUCACCCAUUUAAAGUGUACAGUUAUUUUUGGUAUAGUCAUUGAGUUGCAUAAUCAUCAGCCACAAUCUAAUUUGAUUUUAUUACCCCUAAAAGAAACUCCAUACCCAUUUGUAAUCACUCCUAAUUCCUCUCCCUCAGUCCUAGGUGACCACUAAUCUACUUAAUGUCCAGAUUUACCCAUUCUGAACCUUUUGUGUAAAUGGAAUCAUAUAAUAUGUGGCUUUUCUUCUCUCACUUAACCAGGUUUUCGAGGUUCCGCCACAUUUUAGCAUGAUCAUUAAGUUCUUCAUUCUUUUAUACUUCUGAAAAAUAUUCCAUUGUGUGAAUAUUCAACUGUUCAUGUAUCAGUUGAUCCACAAUUGAGAAAAUUGAGCUUUUAUUUGAUCACAUUCUUAUCUGAACAAAACGAGUCCAUUGGGUGGGGUGGCUGUUGGUGGACAAUCAACAAUGGUUGGCCCUAUACAGAAAUGGACUGGUACCUGAAAUUUUAUUUAGCAUUUCAAAAGUUCUGACAGGUGUGUGAAGAAGUGCAGAGAUUGUGAAGUCUUAGUGACCUUAAGGAGUGCCAGGUCAAGUUGGUUUUACCUUGGUGAGUAAUGUUGUUACUAAAGAAAAAAGCCUGGUAGGAAUUACUAUAUAAUUAGCAUGUAGGUCUUUGACCAGAGAACCGUGCUUUUUCAUUGUGACUGCUAUUUCUUUGGCCUCUGACCCUACUAUUUUGCACCAAUCCCUAAUCCUGCCACCACUUUAGGGAUAUGGACUUGCAAAGUUAUUUAUGUUCUCCUCCAUGCUUGACAUGCAGUUAUUUACCACAAGGCACCUUUGCUCUGGCUUCACAUGGGUUGGACUAUUACUUUCUUUACAGGGAUAUUUACUACUUGUAAUUAAUUUACCCCUUACUUUGAAUAAGUAAGAUUACAAAGGAUUUAAGUAAAAAAAAAAUAAAUAAAUAAAACCUCUUUAAAUCCUGAUCCUGGAUGAAAUAAAUCUUCAGUAGAUUCCAUGGCUUUCAAUCAUUCUUGAAUAAUAAAGAGUGUUUAUUAUUAUUCACGCCUCCAGUUCCUUCUAGAUUCGAGAAUCUUGUAAUGAAGAUGACCAGCCCUGUGUAAUUAGCAACACUCUAAACUCUGAAAGGCUGAAGCCCCACCACUCUGCCUCCCCAGCUCGAGGCUGCUGCAACCAGAAGAGUCUGCAGUGUGUUCAAGUCUUUCUACUUUUAGCAUCUUCUGGAUCACCUGGCAAAGUGUGUUCUGGAAGUGAUUUUAGAAUGAAUUCUCUGAGCUUCAGUUUUCUGAUCUCCAACAUAGAAGAUUACCAUCUGUACCACUUAUUUCACAGGUCUCACUCCAGAUAAGUUUUAGAAUAAACUUGCCAAGUCCAUAUUAAAAGGCGUUGCUUAUAACUACAUUAACAUAUGUUGAUUUGGGAAAAAUCAACAUUUAUAAUUUGGGACCAGAAACAUGGUCAACCUCUCAAUUUAUUCAGGAAUGCUUUCAAUAACUCCAGUAAAGUUUGAUAAGUUUUAAUGUAAGCGUUGCACAUUUGUCAACAUUUUUGUUCCUUGUGUGUAUUAUAAUGGUUUAUAAAGGUAUUUUUAAUAUGAAUUUUUCUAAAAAAUAGGUAUUCGGUUAGGUUAUUAAGGGCAUGUUGCAAAGCUAGUGAUUUGGGGGAAAUUCUCUUUACAAGGUCUCUUGGUGAUUAUUUUUAAAUUAGUUUUAAUAGGUUGUUGGUUUAAUCUUUUAAACUUUCUGGGUAUAUUAUAGAAUCAUACACAAAUAAUUACGAUUUUUGCCUCUCCCCAUGUUAUUUCUUGUUCAUGCUUUAUUGUGCUGGUAGGAUGAACAUUGUAGAGCAGUAGAAAUGUAGUCCAUAAAAAAUUUCACCUUCCCUGAACAGAAAUAAAGUGCUUAAAAAAAAAAAAAAAGAAAGAAAGAAAUGGAGUCCAGCACCCAGGCCAUGUCCUGGUUUUAAUGGGGGUGUUUUAAAUAUUUUCUUACUAAAUAUGAUGUUUGCAGUGGAUUUCUGAUAGGUGUCCUUAGGAAAGUUAAGUGUUUCUCUAUGUCCUUAGGAACUCUCAUCUUGCAUUGGUGCUGAAUUUUUCCAGUACUGUGUUUAGCAUCAAUCGAAGUAAUAAUAUUUUGUCCCCUAGACUGACAAUGUGGUAUUACAUUAAUAAAUGUAAUGUUGACCCAACUGUU
This 5269-nucleotide long non-coding RNA is filed under the name Marmota monax (woodchuck). Lineage: Eukaryota; Metazoa; Chordata; Mammalia; Rodentia; Sciuridae. The record is from RNAcentral.